RNAcentral lists this transfer RNA (66 nucleotides) under Triatoma picturata. RNAcentral's name for it is "tRNA-Asn". Lineage: Eukaryota; Metazoa; Arthropoda; Insecta; Hemiptera; Reduviidae. The record is from RNAcentral.
UUAAUUGAAGCCAAAAUAGAGGCCUUUCAUUGUUAAUGAAAAAAAUGAUUAAUUAAUCCAAUUAAA